ACAGGGAUUGCCCUAGUAACGGCGAGUGAAGCGGCAACAGCUCAAAUUUGAAAUCUGGCGUCUUCGGCGUCCGAGUUGUAAUUUGCAGAGGGCGCUUUGGCAUUGGCAGCGGUCCAAGUUCCUUGGAACAGGACGUCACAGAGGGUGAGAAUCCCGUACGUGGUCGCUAGCCUUUACCGUGUAAAGCCCCUUCGACGAGUCGAGUUGUUUGGGAAUGCAGCUCUAAAUGGGAGGUAAAUUUCUUCUAAAGCUAAAUACUGGCCAGAGACCGAUAGCGCACAAGUAGAGUGAUCGAAAGAUGAAAAGCACUUUGGAAAGAGAGUUAAAAAGCACGUGAAAUUGUUGAAAGGGAAGCGCUUGCAGCCAGACUUGCCUGUAGUUGCUCAUCC
RNAcentral lists this ribosomal RNA (389 nucleotides) under Allophoma tropica. RNAcentral describes it as "partial large subunit ribosomal RNA". It matches the Rfam family "Eukaryotic large subunit ribosomal RNA", at positions 68 to 454 of the family's 3401-position model. The record is from RNAcentral. RNAcentral also lists the same sequence under 1 other name. Lineage: Eukaryota; Fungi; Ascomycota; Dothideomycetes; Pleosporales; Didymellaceae.